Molecule: long non-coding RNA, 11693 nt
Organism: Gasterosteus aculeatus aculeatus (three-spined stickleback)
Lineage: Eukaryota; Metazoa; Chordata; Actinopteri; Perciformes; Gasterosteidae
Source: Ensembl
AACAACAAUAUUUUUCUAAAUAUGUUGUUAAGAUGCCUGAACAUUACUUUAAUUAAUUAAUUAUUUCAAUUAUUAUUAUUUCAAUAUAUAAUAUAAAUAUUAUAAUUAUACUAUUAUUAUAAGUAUUUCAAUAUAAGAUUCUUAAACUUACUAUUUUUAUAGUGUUAUGAGUUUAUGUUAGGACAUUUAUUUUUGCCCCCAUUUCCUCAAUGGCUUGUAUGAACCAAUUUUUUGCAAUUAUAUGAAAACCUGGUCUUUUCAAAAUAAACUUCAAAUAAACAAAAUAAAAAUCAUCGUCACAGGAAACAAGAUGAAGGUUAGGUUUAGGCUGGGAAAGAAAAGACCUUUGUUUAGGUUCCGUUACGGACGUACUUAAAUCACCAAAAAAAUUGACGCUGAAUUGGUUUGAAAGUGGGUGAGAUCCUGGGAUUACUUCAUCCAUCCUCCUCUUCCACCCGCUGUUUGAGGACUUUGUCCUUCUUUUCACUAGUUGCUCUGAGCUUCUACUAAUGACACAAAUGGGUUUAUGUGGGAUUUAAUCGAAAGUCCGGUGCUUCUUGUACAGAUGCUAUAGAGUGCCUCGGUGUCAAACAGGGCUGACGCACCAGUCUGAAUUCUUGGUUAUCUGUUGGCUUGUAGAUUUGGGAAUCCACGAGCCACAGUGGCCUGCUGACCAAUGUAUCCAAAGCCGAAGAGUUGGGUGUGAGAACAGGGUGGUUGCUGUGAUGCCAUCACCGGGUACAAAACAAAAAAAACAAUGCGGUUACUGCUUUAACAUCUCAAGAAUAAAUCUGUUUGGAAUUCAAAAAAAUGUGCCACACAUAAACAGGGUUUUCAUUUUAGAUACAGGUUUAAUUGAAGUAAAUGUUUGUGUCCACUACAGUCCCUCCUCCAGGUGUGCAGCUUUUCAUAUAUUAUCUGUUUGUGUGUGUUUGUGUGUCUCUGUGUUUGUGUGUGCAUGGGUGUGUGCGUAUGACUAAUCACACACACAUAGCCACACAUCAGAUCAGUAAAAGGACCCCCUCCCCCUCUUUGGCCCACUCUUCCUUCGCAUCAUGCUUCUUUCACUUCUCUUUGUCUUUCAUUCUUCCUCCUUCCUCUUCUUGCUUGUUUUUACCUGUACUGAUGUCUCCUCCAUUGUCUUCCUACUUCUUCCUUUUUCUUCCUUCUCUUGUUAUUGUUCCUAAUCUGUUACCGGUCCUACUCCUCGUCUCCUCUCCUCUCCCAAGGACUUCUUUUCCUACAUUUUUUUGACAAGUAACUUUAAAUUAUACAGCCCAAUAACACAAAUCCCAAAUAGCCCACGACAUCCACCAUGUUUUCCUUCCGUCCUCCUCUUCGCUUCUCCUCUUCCUCCCCUCCGCCUCCUGUCACAUUUCCCCCUCGUCAGACUCAUCUCCAUGUUUUUACUCCUCAUCAUGCUUUUAGUUCACGCUUCACUUCCUUCCUCCUCAUCUCAUUGCCCUCUUGCCUCUAAUUACCCACCUUUAAUGCCUCCUACUAUUUCCCCUCCAGCUCCAUCUCAGUCCUCUUUUUGAUUUAAUCUCUCUCUCCCUGCUUGCCUCCCACUCUUUGUCGUCUUUCUUUUCCUUUUACUUCUUCUGUCCUCCCAUUUGUCUUCUUCCGCAAAUUUUUUCUUUCCACCCACCCGUCCUCCUCCUUUUCCCCAAUAUUUUCACACCCUCUUUCUCUAUCUCUCCCCUUGUAAUGCACAUUGUUUUCAUGCUAUUUUAUGUUCCUUCCAGCUUGACUUAUUCUCUGUAUCCCACACACGCCCUUUACAAUUUGCACAGGCUUUCACCUCCUUUUGUCUUACAUCCUUUUCCAAAUUCUCUUUUCUCCUAACUUACGUCUCCUUUUUUCAUUCACUUUCUUUCUCUCCUCCUACUCCUCCUAACUCGGCCUCCAUGGUUAUUCCAUCAGUCAACAUUGAUUAGAUAUCAAAGUUAAUCCCAGCUAAACUCCACUGCUUAUAGCCCGCUCGCCUCAACCAAUCAGCCACUUGCUGCCAACAUGGGCGUCCUGAAAUGUGUCCUGAAAUGUGUCCUGAUUGGUCACCGGUCCCUGUAGCCUGUUGCAUGAGACACAGCAUACGUCCAAAAAUAGGCAAGCAGGGAUGGAUGAGCAGGAAAUUAAUUUGACGGGUAUCGCUGAGAUCACUCACACACACACACACACACACACACACUUCUCCUAACCCAUGACAUACAAAUGUUCUCUCAAGAACACACACAGAUACAUGAAAAUGUUUUGGAACCAUUUACUGUACAUAUGUCAGUAAGCAUGCUCUCAAACGUACACUUGCUAACUCGCCGUAGCUAAGCAUGGAGAGGCACACAAAGGCUAUAUUUUGUAUGUAUACGUUUUUUCUAUUUCUAACAUGUUAGUCAAACAUCAAGUCAUUGUCCAAAUUCUUCACAUAGUGAAAGAGAAGUCUGUGUGGACAAAACUGAAACAGAAAAAUUACCAUUUAAUUACCACAUUUUUCAAAAUCUAUGAACUCUUACUUUUACUCCGCCAUCAGCAAAACCCUUUAUAUCCGCAGCAGAGUUUUCAAAACUGUUUUCAAAAUGAAACACCAAAACUUAAUACUGGCAAGUUUCAUGCACAUCAGCAGUAACUGUAUUGAAAUAUAUAAAAGUGUCUAAUGUGUAAAAUAAAGUCAACUAAGAGCGUAGGUCACUGAAUGGUUAAACUAACACAGACCCUCACACAAGGGACCUCUGCUCAUGCCCAAUGUGUAACCAAGUGAAAGGUGACUUAUUAAGGCUUAGUUUUGUUACUUUUUUUUUGACAAACAUUUAUUUAAAUCUUUUCCUGAGCCUUGCCACAUCCCCAACCAAUCACAUUUAGAAUGUAAUUAAACCUACUUAGAAUGUAUGGAUGUAACAAACAGUGGUGACCUAAUGUGUACACCACCUCCACACAACUUGGUUGCGUGGUUUUAGUUUCGUAAUUAUUUGACCUCAAGAAAUGGCUAAAGGCUGAGGUCCAAGUAGCUUUUUUAAGGUAAACUGGAAGUUUAAGAGAGAAGACGUAGAAGGGAUUUUCCUGCUUCUAGAUCUAGCAUUUUAAACGAUGUGGAAGUCAGAUAUAAAAAGGUAUCCAGUAUAUUGUCUUAAAUAUUGUGCAUUCGAAUUAAAAAAAUUCUAAUACCUAACUUUGUUGUCCAACCGUUUUUUACCCAAAUCAUGGUUGGUUUUUACUGUUUCCCAACAGCCGGCAAAUAUGUGCUUGUUACAUCCGUCUUCACAGGAAAUAUAGAAUAGGCAACAGAACCAAUGGGAUAAGUAGAGGGGAAAAACAUGGUAGAUGUUUACAUGACUCUCUUUAGUGAGUGACAUACGACUCACAACACCAGGGACUCAUGUGUGUAUGGACUGAAGGGACAAAACGUUUACUUUUAGUUUCUCUCGGGAUAUAAAUUGUCGAUAAACUUGACGUGUGUGUGUGUGUAUUGAUCUCCAAUUCCAGGGGGGCAAUGUAUCCUUAUACAUACAUACAUAGAUACAUAUAACACAACAGCGUUUGGUGGUUUUACGUAAGUAGGACUUCCAUAACAGGUACAGAUUCGCUAUGUCUUCCAGAAAAAAUAAUGGUGGAAGGUUCAACUAUUUUUAAGGUGAUGAGCAACGUCCCCCUCUCUCUGUCGCGUCAAAGGCAAAUGAUGCAACUCAUGCGAAUUGACCAGAAAUUAUUCCCCGCGACUUCCUGCCGCUUUUAGAGCUUUUGGGGCGGCGCAAAACAUUUGUUUCAUGUUUGGUGUGAACACAGCAUUAGGAAACAAGAAUACUUAGGUUUAGGUUAAAAACAAACUAACUAAUUAUGGACGACUAGCUGAAUGAUUUCUAGUUGUUGGAGCCAUCCACCUCCACCUAUUUGAGGAGGUGAUGGAAAGGGUUGCCGAUCAGACUGUAUAAUAAUAUUGUUUCCCAAGGCCCUGUUCCUCGUACGUGGUUCAACUAAGUCGAUCAAAUGUCCCAUUAUCCAGCUCAAAUUGACGAGAUGAUUGACAUCAGGCUAUCUCGGUUCCUCGAAGGCGGAUCGGCGCUCAAACAGUCUUGCUAGUUUGAACCAGAUGUCAGUCAUCAGGAUAAUCAGGCAUUCAUUCUUACAUCAGAAGGCAGAAGAGUCCAGAGUCCAGAGUCACUGAAACCAGGAUUUUUAACGGAUAAACUCAAAGGAAGAGUGUCUUUUUUUCCACCGCUGACGAGCAGGGGAUAAUCAUGAAUUCAUGUAAUUUGUGUUGGAUAAAUUGAGCCUAAUGUACAUCUUUUACGUUGUUCAUUCUGUAUGUCCAUCGCAGUCUGUCCGUCCCGGGGAGGAUCCUCCUCUGUCUCACUAAAGGUUUCUUCCCUUUAUUCUCCCCAUCGAAGGCUUUUUUAUUGUUUGGGGCGUUUUUCCUAACUUCCUCCUUCCUGCCGAUGUGAGGGUUUCUGCAGAGAGGAUGUCUCAUGUGUACAGACUGUAAAGACCUCUGAGGCUAAUUUGUGAUUUUGUGCUUUACAAAAUAAUCAAAUAAUCAUGGCAAGUGUUGGGAAAAUGUAAGUGCCUCAUCACUUUCUUUAAAUGUGUCUGCUUACAGGAGGCUUCGUGGAUGCAUCAUCAUCCAAUGAGAAUAAUGAUUCUCUUUCAGAAUAUGUAGAUGAAAACAAGCCCAAACAAUCUAAUUGAUACGAAUGAAUAGGAUAUAUGUACUGUAUCACCUUAUGUAUCAUAUGUAUGUGUAGAUGACCAAAUAGAACUAGCAGUUUUAUAUGUGUGUGAAGGUGUAUGGAAGAAUCAGUAUAGUGGUAAAAAGUUUACAUACACUUGUAAAGAACAUAAUGUCAUGGCUCUCUUGAGUUUCCCAUUAUUUUUACAAGUCUAAUUUUUCUCUGAGAGUGAUUGGAACAGAUACUUCUUUGUCACAAAAAACAUGAAGUUUGGUUCUUUUGUGAUCAAAAAGUGAUCAAAUCGUGUGUCAGACAGUGUGUGAAACAUCAGAGAGUGUGGGAGACAGUAUGUGAGAUAGUAUGAGAGACAGUGGGAGACAGUGUGUGGGACAGUGGACGCUCGGCUGCAGCGUGUGGUGUUCAUCACGUAACGUAACGGGGAAAUCUUCUUGUAAAUAAAUGAUUCCUUGUAACGGGUCUUAGUGAUCUCUGAGAACUGUCUCCCUAUAAAACGUUCAUCUAACUGAUGUCGCUCCUUCAUCAAUGAGGAAGAGAGCUGCCCUUUUUUCCGGGGGAGUGAUGAACUAAUCCAGCAGCUCAGAUGAACCUGCGCCGGAGCAGGUUCACGUUUUUCGAUGUGUUGCUAUGGUGAUUUAGACAAACCUGCUUUGGGGAACCCGAAAAGCCUGAUCUACGUCAUCUCAUCCUGAAAAUGAUCCGGCUAACUCAGUCAGUCACGUAUGAGGAACAGGGCCCAGGUUCAUAUGGAUUUGAGAGGGCAUCAAUAAACAAGGUUUCAUUCAAAUCAAAAAUUUAACAAUUUUGUAUAAAUUAUACAGACCAUUCAAUUGUGUGAGUAUCUAUGAUGCCCGCUAACACACAUGCUCAAUACUCACACACAUAUUCACGUGAAGCUCAAGAGGUGUUUGCCCUAAUGCGUGGCGAUGAGUGAGUGGGAGGGAAGAACCCUUCGCGUGUGUGUGUUUGUCCGUUCUGAUAAUUCACAGCUGCCUGCUCAGUGCUGAGCUAAGAUAACAUAGAUGACUUCACAGUGAAAUCCCCCACAAAUCCAUCUGCUUCUGUGUGUGUGUGUGUGUGUGUGUGUGUAGGUGCAUGCACACACACACAGCAUAGCAUGUCCUACUCCAUUCACAUAAUGUAAUCCUUUCAAAUCUCCCAAACUUUUCUUAUUUUUAAUAUCUUAGUAUGUUCUCCUCCGUGCAGAGAGAAAAAAGAUAUAUCAUAUAUUAAUAUACUAUCCUUAAACUCAAUUCAUUUGAUGCCACCAUAACAUAUAUAGAAGAUAUAGAACAGUGUCUGGGGGAAACUUAAGCCGAUUUCCCUGGUAUCCAGCCACCCUUGCAUUUUGCCUAAUUAGUCAAAGUCAUUUUUUUGCAGGACAUCUCAGCGAAAUCAGGUCAAAUAUUUGUAAAUGAGGCGGAUUUUCAAAUAGUUAUCCAACUGUACUGUUACUAUACGGCAUUAUGUCAUCAGUGUAUGAAUGGGUGAAUGACGAGAUUUAGCACUAAAGCGAUUUGAGUGGUUCUCACAGUCCAUCUGCAGUCCAUUUGCCAUUCAUGAAUCUUAUUACCUCAACACCAACUACUGUCCUCUAUAUUCAUUAGACUGUCAAUCACCGUUUAUGACCCCCUAAUACCAAAUGAUAUCUCUUUUUCAAAGGUCCCUAAGCCUCAUUUACUAUCUUAAAGACCAUCCUAUAUACUACAGGGAUCAUUUAGAAAUACUGUCUUUCAUUUCUUAACCACAUUCCAACUCCAUUCCUGAAGCAAUUAGCAUCCACAAAACUAUUUAUUAACCAAUUUACCGACCACAGCACCACUCAAAUUAACAAUUUUCAAUACCAUUGUGCGUGUCUAUGAUAUAAACCAUGCAUCCCUCAGGCACUAGUUUCUACUCCCCGCAGCUUUUACUGUCGCUACCAAUGCAAGACCAUUUACUAUCCACAACCCCAGACGCUUUUCUAGUCUUCUGACCACUCAAAGCGCUUUAACACUACAUGACAUCAUUCACCCAUUCAUACGCUGAUGACAGGAGAACCACACACAGUGACACCUGCCAUCAGUAACUACCAUUCACACACUGUAGUCAAAGCUACAGGAGCAAUGUUGGGUUAAGUGUCUUGCCCAAGGACACAACGACAUGCGGGUUAGCAGAGCCUGGGAUCGAACCGACAACCCUCUGAUUGGAGGACGACCGUGCUCCCCACUCACCCACAGUCGCCCCCAAAUAUAAAAUAUUCCACAUAUUACUCUUUAACACUACCACCAUUUAGCAAGCCUGUCAAACAUCUUUUUUUCUCUCUAUCUAUGUCGAUCGGUUUUCUGGUAUAUUCAGCUCUUUUCCUCUGUCUGAUAUCCCUCCGAUGGUUAUUUAUUACCCACCAGCCCCGGCUUUAGCAAGGCACGGCAAGUCUGGUCACUGUGUCCUCAGGCAAACUCUCUGUGUGGGUACACGUUACCCCCUCUUUCUCCCUCUAUCCAUGCCCCCCUCUCCCUCUCCCUCUCUCUCUGCUUGGUUGAUUCCGCUGUCUGACACCUUGUCUGUCUCAUUGCUCCCUCUGUCUUACCUUCCGUCUGUGUUUUUUUACCAGCCGCUUUCCUUUUUCUGCUGUUUUUUUCCUCUGUCUGUGUCCCUGUUUAUACAGAGACACGCACACGCUGCUCAAACCAGAGGCAGAGGACUCUCUCUAGACAUCUCUGUGUCUGGUGACAUCCAGACGACAUUGGACUGUGAGUGUGUUGGUUUUUUGUGCUUGUGCAAGUGUGUUAAGAUGUUUGUUAUUCCUCCACUUGUUUGCAUGUGUCUUUAUUGGACAGACGGACAUAUAGCUGGAUACUGAGACGAUAGACAGUAGGAUCUUUGCAGAUGCAUGUUUCUACUCCAGCAGAAACAUAAAGGAUGUUUUGAAGAAAUUAAAUGAUGGAGAAAUAAAAGAAGGAAAGCAGCAGUGGAGUGAGGUUGAGGUAUGGGGGUAGGAGAGUGAGAUGGGAUGCUAGAGACUUUUUGGAAGUGGGGAUGAAGUAAAUGCAGAGGUGUAGGUAGAAGGAUUCGAAAAUGAGGGAACGAGGGGGAUAGAGAUUUCAGAGGGAAUUAGAGAUUAAAUCAUGACGGCAUGUUUGUCACUUUCCCCUAAAGGUAUAGUGUGUAUGCGCAUGUAAAUGUGCGUGUGUGUGUAUGUGUGUGCGUGCAAAUACAGCCACUUACAGCUGUGGAGCUUAAUUAGCCUUCAACAGCCCACUAAUUAGCUUGUUUUAAACUACAAGACCAUAGGAUUUUCUGUUUUCCACUGUGAGUGGGCUACUGGGCGAGCAUAGCUGGAGUAACUUCAUAAAAUCAUAUUUGGUGCUGAUAUGAUGGUUUGAGCAUUGAUGAGAAGAUGAGUAAAGCUACAAUAUUCUGCCCGAAGAGGAUAACUUUACAACAACAGAUUACAUUAUAGAGUCUAACAUAUUAAUAGGGGUAUCUGUGGCUCAGUGGAAGAGCAGUCAGAGGAUUGGCAGUCCCUGUCUCUGGCUGUCCAUAUCCAUGUCCAUGGCAAUAGCAUGGAAACAGCCUAAACUGUGAGUGAUGACAUAGUGUUGACAUUGCUUUAAGUGGUCAAAAGACUAGAAAAGUCUAUUUAUCAUAACACAUCCUCGGUCAGUAAUUUGGGGUUCUACUAGAACAUCGUUAAAUGUGAUAAUAAUUUAUGAGGACGUUUACUAAAAGUGGUUAUCAAAGGAAUACAAUACAUUAUCAACAAAGCAUUUUGUUAUUACUAACAUGAGGCUAAAAGAAGUAAACAAAUAAUCUUCUGGAAAAGUUCUUCCUUGAAUUAACAAUUUCAAACAUUCCCUAGUUUUCUUAAUAGGUUAUUUGACUAAUCAGACAUAGUUUGGGUGGUUUGGAGUGGGGUGGUUUGAGGUAAGUUCAAUUGGAUUCAUUUAUAGCCCAAAAUAAUCAAGUUUCCCUCAGAGGGCUUUAUAAUCUUUACACAUAGUCAGUGUAUUACCCAGAGGCGUUUGGUACUGCCCAAGUUUUGAGAAACAGACCAGCAUGAUCAGCCGUUUGGUGAACCUGCCUUGCACCAUCCCAUUUCCAGUCUCCAGUGGGUGGCAGUGCUGAGGCCACCAGGUGAGUAAGUUGCAGGUUCACUGUUGUUUGAUUGUAUUUUUUCUUUAUUUAUAUUUAUGUAUUUUUUACACAAAACUACACACAUUUGCUCAUCUUCAAGGCAGAAUUCCACCAGGUGCAACAUGUUGAACUAGCGACUCUUCCUGCUGUCCUCGUGCACAUUUCUGUGCUCUCAACUCUCCAUCAUUUGACGGGCUGUGUUUCAAGUGCCAACAAUCUCCAAACAUUCAGCCAGGAUUUCCACACAAGUCUUUUAGUGCAACAGUGGUGGAACUCAGACUGUGUGCCGCGGAGGGUAACUUAACCUACAUGUUGAGAUGGCAGUAGCCUAGCAGCGAGCUUAGCCUAGCAGCUAGCUUAACGUUGCAGUGCAUGAAGUUGUCCUUUUGCCACCAAUCCCCCAUUCUGUUUGACACAUGGAGGAAUUCUUCUCCACAGUUCUGCGCUGUAUUUCACACCUCCGUUUGUUUUACUUGCAAAAAUGCAAAAAGCAUCUCCAACUACCGUCUGGGUGUCUUUGAUCUAACUGACUGCAGCACGGGGCAAAAUUCACAGUCCUCAUUGGGCAUGGAGUUAGUUUUUUUCCGCUUUUUUCCAUGCUCAUCUUAAACGUAUGGCUACCUCCCCCUAAGCACAUAUUGGUCUGCUGCUUAGACAAAGCAGCAAUACUAAACCCACAUAUCUGCGAUUAAUCGCACAAAUGUCUUUAUGGCAGGAUUAAAAAUUGUAUUAGUUGCCAAGCGCAAACAAAUGUUUUAUUCCUGGUUUAGAGAUGUUUGUAGUGGAAAACAUACCUGCCAAGGGCACUGUCACUCAAUCCUCCGUUUGAUGAUGCCGGUCCAGAUAUAAGAAACAAUAUGACAUUCAAGUCAACCAGAGGUCCUAAUCAAAUGCUGAUUAUAUGAAUACACAAUUUGACUAUCUAUAACACCACACUGGAUGCCCUCUAGUGCCUCAGCUUCUGAAGACACUAGAAGUUGUUCAACAGUGAUCUGUAAAUCCAGUCUAGCCAUUACGUGUUACAUAUGUUAUAUAUUCCCGGACACAGAAUAUGACAAUAAGUAGUAGCAGCAUGGGUGAGAAAACUGUUUCUCAACUUGAUGAUUCUUGGAGAUUCACUUCUCAAUGACAGCACAUCACUGUUACUGCUGCUUCAUCUUUGAUCAGUCCUUCCAGGAAUCUUCUUUCACAAUUAUUAACACAAGUUUAACCAAUCUUUACAAAAUCGUAACAUUAGAGGCAUGCUUUUCUUUACUCUUUCUGACCCACAACAAUACAAGCACAAACCUCGACCUCAACAAACCAACUUCAUUACAAAUAUAUAAACAGCUCGAGGACUUUAUUUAAGUAAUUUUCUCAGAACGGAUAACUGUUUAUCUGACCACCACAGAUCUAGGAAAACAGCCCUGUUCCAGCAGACUACUUGAUGAUUUAGGACCAUAAACCAAUUGCUAUUUAUCAAUGAUCUUAAUGUGAUAUUUCAGAAAAAUUCAUUAUAUACUCAGAGAUUGAUUGCUGUGAACAUUUUGGGGGGAUUUUUAGUCACAAGCCAUUUCCUCAGUUCUUCGGUGUGUGUACACUGUGCUCCUAGUCUCAAAGCCUCAUUAGGUGAACAUAUGGAGGGAUCUGGAGCGGUGAUGUGGAGCAAAAACGAGCCUGACUCAGCACUCCUGACACUCAAUUACAGCUGGAGUUUAUUUCUUUUCUAUACUUCUUAAUAUAAUGGUUUAUGGCAAAAUGCACUAAAAUCCACCUGACUUGCCAUAUCUGAGAUAUUUUUAACGGCCUGCAGAUGAUUUUAUGUUUUCUUUACAAUAGAAAUUGGAUGGGCUUAAUUCAUUUUUACUCAUUUUCUUCCACAGAAGAAACCCUGGUAUCCCCACAGCGAAAACAACCUAGGUAGUUUGGUACUUUCCUCACAGUUAUAUUAACAGCACAUUUAAUGUCCCUUUCCAGUCAUUUAGAAUGGAAUUGAUUCAUUUUUUUUACUGUUAUUGUGUCUUUUUUAGGUAAUUUUGCAUAUCUUUAUUUUUUGUUUUUGCGUCUCUUUGUGUUUAACCUUUAUGGGGGACCAAGAGCAGCUGGUCACCAUCAAUGUAAACUUUCAUAAUUUGAUAACCCACUUCCACUCCCCACUUAGUAUUCUGUGAUGGCACUUAAUGGUACAUCUUAAAGCAACUUUUACUUGUAUAACACCACUGUAUAUGUCACUAUCCUGCCCAUUCACAACCAUUCAUACACUAAUGGCAGGGGCUACCAUGCAAUGUGCCUCCCAUAGACUGUGUAGAACAAGUGUCUAAUACCUGUUAUUGCGCUUUCACUAUAAUUUACUAAAUAGACAUCAUGCUCUAUUGAGAAAUAACUCAACCAAAAGAGUCAGACAAUAAACUUAUGCUUACAAUGUUUACUGAAGUAAUAAAUCAAGCGAGUCAUUUUCUCAUAGAUGUCUAUAUAAUAACCAGAAGAUGGCCCCUCGCUGGUCAGUAGAGAUGAUGCAGAUGAAGCACUUGAAAUAACUAUAACAGCAGCUUAAAAACUCGACAGUAUACUCAAGCUCUGGUGACGGCGGAGCGACAAAGUAUGCUUCCGACGGAAUAUUUAGUUUUUCUCUUUUGCAUAUUUUUAUGAGCGAUCUGAUUGCAUCACUUAAAAAACACUAGAUAUAUCCACCAAAAUGACUAAGUCAUUGUUAAAUUUAAUUUAAUAAUCAUAAAUGCAUGUUAACAGCUUAGUGUUCAGUGACAUUUAACAUGAGUGACAAAGCGGGCCCCUCCUCCUUGAGCCCCAAACUAAGAUAAUGUUAUGGUUUAUAAAAUGUCGAUAUUUGUGUUUUUGAAUUAUUAAAUGUCCCCAAUAAUAUUUGUAAAAUAUGAUAUCUGCGCAAAGUAUAUGCUUUUCCUGUCC